CUCAAUCCCAAUGUGGCCGUUCAACCUCUCAGUCCAGCUACACAUCAUAGUCUUGGUAAGCCGUUACCUUACCAACUAACUAAUGUGCCGCAAGCCCAUCUCUUAGCAUACCCUUGCGGGUCUUUUAAAAGUUUCAAGAUGCCUUAAAACUUCCUAUCCAGUCUUAGCAGUCGUUUCCAACUGUUAUCCUCGUCUAAG
Molecule: unclassified non-coding RNA, 198 nt
Filed under: Candidatus Phytoplasma mali
Lineage: Bacteria; Bacillati; Mycoplasmatota; Mollicutes; Acholeplasmatales; Acholeplasmataceae
Description: partial 16S-23S ribosomal RNA intergenic spacer
Source: RNAcentral